AACCUACGGGACGCAGCAGUGAGGAAUAUUGGUCAAUGGGGGAAACCCUGAAGCAGCAACGCCGCGUGGAGGAUGAAGGUUUUCGGAUUGUAAACUCCUUUUGUUAGAGAAGAUAAUGACGGUAUCUAACGAAUAAGCACCGGCUAACUCCGUGCCAGCAGCCGCGGUACUACGGAGGGUGCAAGCGUUACUCGGAAUUACUGGGCGUAAAGAGCGCGUAGGCGGGAUAGCAAGUCAGAUGUGAAAUCCUAUGGCUUAACCAUAGAACUGCAUUUGAAACUGUUAUUCUGGAGUAUGGGAGAGGG
This 305-nucleotide ribosomal RNA is filed under the name uncultured bacterium. RNAcentral describes it as "bacterial SSU rRNA". It matches the Rfam family "Bacterial small subunit ribosomal RNA", at positions 335 to 658 of the family's 1533-position model. The record is from RNAcentral.